UACGAAGGGGGCUAGCGUUGUUCGGAAUUACUGGGCGUAAAGCGCAUGUAGGCGGAUAUUUAAGUCAGGGGUGAAAUCCCGCAGCUCAACUGCGGAACUGCCUUUGAUACUGGGUAUCUUGAGUAUGGAAGAGGUGAGUGGAAUUCCGAGUGUAGAGGUGAAAUUCGUAGAUAUUCGGAGGAACACCAGUGGCGAAGGCGGCUCACUGGUCCAUUACUGACGCUGAGGUGCGAAAGCGUGGGGAGCAAACAGGAUUAGAUACCCCCGUAGUCC
RNAcentral lists this ribosomal RNA (273 nucleotides) under uncultured bacterium. RNAcentral's name for it is "partial 16S ribosomal RNA". It matches the Rfam family "Bacterial small subunit ribosomal RNA", at positions 524 to 796 of the family's 1533-position model. The record is from RNAcentral.